AAUAAGUGUAGUUUUGCACUAUUCACGUUCAACGUUUGACCGUUUGUCUUAUUUGAAUUUUUUUUAUGAUUAGUAUUUUUAUUACUAUUAGAUAAUAAAACAUAAAUAGUACUUUAUGUGUGACUAAUUUUUUUUAAUUUUUUUAUUAUUUUUUUAAAUAAGACGGACGGUCAAACGUUGCACACGGAUAUCCACGGCUGCACUUAUU
Oryza glumipatula is the source of this 208-nucleotide non-coding RNA. Lineage: Eukaryota; Viridiplantae; Streptophyta; Magnoliopsida; Poales; Poaceae. The record is from Rfam.